Molecule: ribosomal RNA, 443 nt
Filed under: uncultured bacterium
Lineage: Bacteria
Description: bacterial SSU rRNA
Rfam family: Bacterial small subunit ribosomal RNA
Source: RNAcentral
CCUACGGGAGGCAGCAGUGGGGAAUAUUGCACAAUGGGGGAAACCCUGAUGCAGCGACGCCGCGUGAAGGAAGAAGGUUUUCGGAUCGUAAUCUUCUAUCAGCAGGGAAGAAGAAAGUGACAGUACCUGACUAAGAAGCCCCGGCUAACUACGUGCCAGCAGCCGCGGUAAUACGUAGGGGGCAAGCGGUAUCCGGAAUCACUGGGUGUAAAGGGUGCGUAGGCGGUAGGGCAAGUCAGAUGUGAAAGCACGGGGCACAACCGCGGGAUUGCAUUUGAAACUGUCUUACUAGAGUGCAGGAGAGGAAAGAGGAAUGCCUAGUGUUGCAGUGAAAUGAGUAGAUAUUAGGAAGAACACCAGUGGCGAAGGCGGCUUUCUGGACAGUAACUGACGCUGAGGCACGAAAGCGUGGUGAGCGAACAGGAUUAGAUACCCGUGUAGAC